UACGGAGGAUCCGAGCGUUAUCCGGAUUUAUUGGGUUUAAAGGGUGCGCAGGCGGGAGAUUAAGUCGGCGGUGAAAUUUCGCAGCUCAACUGUAAAAGUGCCUUCGAAACUGGUUUCCUUGAGUGUAGAUGAAGUAGGCGGAAUUUGUGGUGUAGCGGUGAAAUGCAUAGAUAUCACGAGGAACUCCGAUUGCGCAGGCAGCUUACUAAACUACUACUGACGCUCAGGCACGAAGGCGUGGGGAUCAAACAGGAUUAGAUACCCGUGUAGU
RNAcentral lists this ribosomal RNA (271 nucleotides) under uncultured prokaryote. RNAcentral describes it as "partial 16S ribosomal RNA". It matches the Rfam family "Bacterial small subunit ribosomal RNA", at positions 524 to 794 of the family's 1533-position model. The record is from RNAcentral.